CCUAGAGUUUGUGGACUUCGGUCUGCUACCUCUUACCCAUGUCUUUUGAGUACCUUCGUUUCCUCGGCGGGUCCGCCCGCCGGUUGGACAACAUUCAAACCCUUUGCAGUUGCAAUCAGCGUCUGAAAAAACUUAACUAGUUA
Molecule: unclassified non-coding RNA, 143 nt
Filed under: soil metagenome
Description: partial internal transcribed spacer 1
Source: RNAcentral